AAUCAUGGAAAAUGGGGGAAACCGUGACCCAGUCUUGCCGCGUGUAUUCUGAUUGCCAUCGAGUUGUAAAUUAAUUUUCUUAGAGAAGAAAAGGUACCGAAUAAACCGAGAAAAUGCUCACGGUAUCUCCAGAAUAAGCAUUGGCGAACUACGUGCCAGCAGCCGCAGUAAUACGUAGCGUGCAAGCGUUAAUCGGAAUUACUGGGCGUAAAGCCUGUGUUGGCAGUUCCGAAAGAGAGAUGUGAAAUCCCAGGGCUCAACCUUGGAACUGCAUUUUUAACUGCCGAGCUAGAGUAUGUCAGAGAGGGGUAGAAUUCCACGUGUAGCAGUGAAAUGCGUAGAUAUGUGGAGGAAUACCGAUGGCGAAGGCAGCCCCCUGGGAUAAUACUGACGCUCAGACACGAGAGCGUGGGGAGCAAACA
Molecule: ribosomal RNA, 422 nt
Filed under: uncultured bacterium
Lineage: Bacteria
Description: partial 16S ribosomal RNA
Rfam family: Bacterial small subunit ribosomal RNA
Source: RNAcentral